UCUUCUCAAAUAGAGGCUUUCACCUGCGCAAAUGUGGCAUUUCCAUGGAAACUAUACCCAUGGAAAUGCCACAUUUCUGCAGGUGAAAGCCGUUACUUGAAAAGAGC
Molecule: non-coding RNA, 107 nt
Organism: Paramuricea clavata
Lineage: Eukaryota; Metazoa; Cnidaria; Anthozoa; Malacalcyonacea; Plexauridae
Source: the annotation of a GenBank genome assembly